This 553-nucleotide ribosomal RNA is filed under the name Betaeus harfordi. RNAcentral's name for it is "partial small subunit ribosomal RNA". The record is from RNAcentral. Lineage: Eukaryota; Metazoa; Arthropoda; Malacostraca; Decapoda; Alpheidae.
GGGCAAGUGGAGAAUAUUAGGUUAAGUAAUUAGGUGAUUUAAAUAAAGAUUAACUAAUAAGAAAUUAAACGGUGGAAUGUAGUGAUUAUUAGUUAUUGGUUAAUAUUUAAAUAAAAGGCCGAAGUUAUUAACGUUAAGGCUAAAACCAGGAUUAGGUACCCUGUUAUUCUUAGAUUUAAUUAUCAUUACUUGAGUAGUAAACAGUUAUAAUCUCGAAACUCAAAGAAUUUGGCGGUAUCUAAGUCUCGUUAGAGGAAUUUGCGUUAUAAACGAUAAUCCCCGAAAAUCUAACUUUAUCUAGUAUUAAACAGUUUGUAUACCGCCAUUAUUAGGUAGUUUCAAUAGAAAUCUAUCUUAAUGGAAUCUUAUCCAGUAUAUUAGGUCAAGGUGCAGCUAAUGGUAAUGAAGACGUGAGUUACAAUAUUUUAAAAAUAUUAUGGAUAUGAAAAAGAAACAAAGAUCAUUGAAAGUGGAUUUAAUUGUAAUAGGAGUAUAUUAUACUUCGGUGAUAAAAGCUCUUAGAUAUGUACACAUCGCCCGUCGUUCUCGCUUU